RNAcentral lists this ribosomal RNA (69 nucleotides) under Chloroflexota bacterium. Its description in RNAcentral is "Chloroflexi bacterium partial 16S ribosomal RNA". It matches the Rfam family "Bacterial small subunit ribosomal RNA", at positions 1 to 68 of the family's 1533-position model. Lineage: Bacteria; Bacillati; Chloroflexota. The record is from RNAcentral.
CUUGAUUGAGAGUUUGAUCCUGGCUCAGGACGAACGCUGGCGGCGCGCCUAAUGCAUGCAAGUCGAACG